Molecule: non-coding RNA, 2442 nt
Organism: Camellia sinensis
Lineage: Eukaryota; Viridiplantae; Streptophyta; Magnoliopsida; Ericales; Theaceae
Source: RefSeq, a predicted model, not a curated record
CACUACUAGAAAAGUGACUUUUUGCGUCUAAUUUUUUGCGACUGACUAUUUAACGGUCGCAAAAAAUCAAUAUUUACAACCACAAAAAAAUAAAUGAAUUGAAAUAUAUUUAUUUCAAAACAACAUGAUUUUCCUUCCCCAAUUUAUUAUUCCUAUUUCUUUUAUUUAUUUUAUAUGCCAAUGCCCUAGCCCCUUUCACUCUCACGACAUUCACAAACUCUCUCUCCCUUGCUCUCUUGCUCACCAUAGUCGCAGCUUCCGUGGUUUGAAUCUCUGUCUCUCGGUCUCUCACUUUCUUCAUCAUGCUCUGUUUCUCUGAUCUUCAAUUUCAUUUUCCGACUCGAAAUUCUAUUUUCCAAGUUGAAUUUUCUCGAAGAAAGUUGCAGCCUCUGCAAGAUUUGAUCGACGAUGAAGCAGAAAAUUGUUGAAUGAAAUUAGGUUAAUUGUUUGAUCGAGCAAAGAGGAAAAAAAAAAACAGAGAUGAGAAGCGUGAACAACAACGCUCUAGAUACGAUAAGCGCUGCUGCGACUGCGAUUGCUUCAGCUAGGACACAAGCUUCGGUUCAGAUUCGUAUGUUGGAUUUAGUGCUUAAGGCAUCACCUGAAGAUUCUAAUGAGCCUCAAACCGCUCGCAUCCUUCUUUACAAGUUAUUCUAUGAUCAAACUGAUCAAGGAAUGACUCAGUUCCUUUUAAACCAAAUCAAAUCAUUUGAUACUCAUAAACAAGCCAAAAGGUGUUGAAGUAAAAGCUGGGCAGCCUCUUAAGGUCAAUCCUGAAGUAGGCAGCGUCAUACACAUUUCCCAGGCAGCACUGGGUGAAGGAAAGAAGGGAAAAGGAAAUGACAUUGUCCCUCUUCAGGUGAAUAUUAAUGGCAAGAAAUUAGUUCUAGGAUCACUUUCUGCAGGGAAGUUCCCUCAAGUUUCAUUUGAUUUGGUGUUUGAGAAAGAAUUUGAGCUGUCACAUGACUGGAAAGAUGGGCGUGUCUACUUUUGUGGAUAUUCGGCAGAUAAUCAGUUUGAAUAUCCUUUACAUUUUUUCCUAGUUUCCUGUGCUGUUGAUUUCUCUUUUGCUGUUAUCAAUGUCUUUAUAUCAAUCUUUAGUGAGAUAUGCCGACAUGAGCUUCAAGAUGAGUCUUAAUUUGAAUUUGUGAUUUGUUUUCUUUAGAGUCUCACACAUUACUGUACACUUUCAUGUUGGUCCUUGAAUUUGAAGUAUGAAGUGUCCUAGGGCUUUGCUUGCUGCAUUAACGAUAUACUGGAAAUUCGUUUUACAAACCAAUUCAUGUUAAACUUCUUGUCUUCCCUUUCCAUUAUUUUCCACUGGCUUGCAAGUUAAAUUUAAACGCAAAUGUUUGCUUUUCCAUCUGGCUGUUCCUUAUUUUAUCAUUAAUAUGUAGUAUGUAAAUCUUAUUGAUAGAUUGUGUUAUUUCAAUAUCGAUUCUUUAUUUUUGAAUUUUUGUUCUGAUUUUGACCUGGAGGAGAUUGAAAACUGUUUAGAUUUCAAUUUUAUUUUUUGUUUCCUUGACGGUUGUUUUUUCUUUUCACCGAAGAUGUAGAAGACGAGUUUGGUGAGUCUUAAUACAUGUUGCUUAGAUGAUGGUCCUGCUUAAGUGUUUUUUCUCUUCACCAAUAAUAUGUGUUUGGUUCCUAUAUGUGUUUGCCGAUGUUGGUCAUUUCUCUGUUAGUUCAAUACAAAUAAGUAUGUGCGCUGUGACUUAUCCAGCACUCAUACUAGCUUACACCGGACAAGCCUCUUUCCUUAGGAAGCACAAUUAGUACGACUACUGCCAAGAUCGGACAUGCAUACGUAAAGAAGAUUACGAGUAGCAAGAUGAAAAGAAACCAAUAGGUGGUUUAACAAAGCCAAUGGCGCCCAACUGCAAUGAACAGAGUUCAAGAUACCAAGGUUGCGCUGCUUACAAGGAAGGAACAUUGUAUGGCAACCAUUGCUGAAGGUUCUGCAAAUUUUGAUAGCAAUUUGGUUGAAUGGAUCAUCAAUCUUGUAAGUACCUCUUUUAGUCUGCAAGAUGUAAUUGAUGAUACUCUGAUCGAGUUGGGAUUCGAUGGUGAGAUCUUUGAGUUCAUGAAUAUUGCAUGCAAAUGCGUUCAGUCGGUGCAGGCCAACAAUGCUGGAAGUGUACCAAACAAUGAGGGCCACUGGGGAGAAACAUGGCCUUGUGGACGAUUCUAAGAUGUGGAAAGAAACAGAAAUUGCUAUUGCCAGUGCUAACGAGGGAGAUGUUGAAAUAAUAAGGUAGACGAAAUGGGCUGGACAUGCUAAAUUCGAUGGGAAACAUUGUGUUGAUUUACUUAAUUUUUAAUGCAAUACUAUCAUCAUUAUUAGGACCACAACUUAUAAUAAGUUGCUGGAGUUGGUGACAUGUAUAGAAUUUUAUAUUUUGUAUGCACAUUUUUUUUUUUUUUUUGUUGAAGAAAGAACAU